GGAUAACUACCCUUUAGGACUGGGAUAACCCUGGGAAACUGGGGAUAAUACCGGAUAGGCAAUUUUUCCUGUAAUGGUUUUUUGUUUAAAUGUUUUUUUCGCCUAAGGAUGGGUCUGCGGCCGAUUAGGUAGUUGGUUAGGUAAUGGCUUACCAAGCCGUUGAUCGGUACGGGUUGUGAGAGCAAGAGCCCGGAGAUGGAACCUGAGACAAGGUUCCAGGCCCUACGGGGUGCAGCAGGCGCGAAACCUCCGCAAUGUGAGAAAUCGCGACGGGGGGAUCCCAAGUGCCAUUCUUAACGGGAUGGCUUUUCAUUAGUGUAAAGAGCUUUUGGAAUAAGGGCUGGGCAAGACCGGUGCCAGCCGCCGCGGUAACACCGGCAGCUCUAGUGGUAGCAGUUUUUAUUGGGCCUAAAGCGUCCGUAGCCGGUUUAAUAAGUCUCUGGUGAAAUCCUGUAGCUUAACUGUGGGAAUUGCUGGAGAUACUAUUAGACUUGAGACCGGGAGAGGUUAGAGGUACUCCCAGGGUAGAGGUGAAAUUCUGUAAUCCUGGGAGGACCGCCUGUUGCGAAGGCGUCUAACUGGAACGGUUCUGACGGUGAGGGACGAAAGUUAGGGGCGCGAACCGGAUUAGAUACCCGGGUAGUCCUAACUGUAAACGAUGCGGACUUGGUGUUGGGGUGGCUUUGAGCUGCUUCAGUGCCGAAGGGAAGCUGUUAAGUCCGCCGCCUGGGAAGUACGGUCGCAAGACUGAAACUUA
RNAcentral lists this ribosomal RNA (757 nucleotides) under uncultured archaeon. Its description in RNAcentral is "bacterial SSU rRNA". It matches the Rfam family "Archaeal small subunit ribosomal RNA", at positions 102 to 858 of the family's 1478-position model. The record is from RNAcentral.